This 528-nucleotide ribosomal RNA is filed under the name uncultured bacterium. RNAcentral describes it as "bacterial SSU rRNA". It matches the Rfam family "Bacterial small subunit ribosomal RNA", at positions 8 to 526 of the family's 1533-position model. The record is from RNAcentral.
AGAGUUUGAUCCUGGCUCAGAUUGAACGCUGGCGGCAGGCCUAACACAUGCAAGUUGAGCGCUGAAGGUUGGUACUUGUACCGACUGGAUGAGCAGCGAACGGGUGAGUAACGCGUGGGGAAACUGCCCGAUGGAGGGGGAUAACUACUGGAAACGGUAGCUAAUACCGCAUAACGUCGCAAGACCAAAGAGGGGGACCUUAGGGCCUCUUGCCAUCGGAUGUGCCCAGAUGGGAUUAGCUUGUAGGUGAGGUAACGGCUCACCAAGGCGACGAUCCCUAGCUGGUCUGAGAGGAUGACCAGCCACACUGGAACUGAGACACGGUCCAGACUCCUACGGGAGGCAGCAGUGGGGAAUAUUGCACAAUGGGCGCAAGCCUGAUGCAGCCAUGCCGCGUGUAUGAAGAAGGCCUUCGGGUUGUAAAGUACUUUCAGCGGGGAGGAAGGGGUUAAGGUUAAUAACCUUAGCCAUUGACGUUACCCGCAGAAGAAGCACCGGCUAACUCCGUGCCAGCCGCCGCGGUAAUUC